GAUGAACGCUGGCGGCGUGCCUAAUACAUGCAAGUCGAGCGAACGGACGAGAAGCUUGCUUCUCUGAUGUUAGCGGCGGACGGGUGAGUAACACGUGGAUAACCUACCUAUAAGACUGGGAUAACUUCGGGAAACCGGAGCUAAUACCGGGUAAUAUUUUGAACCGCAUGGUUCAAAAGUGAAAGACGGUCUUUCUGUCACUUAUAGAUGGAUCCGCGCUGCAUUAGCUAGUUGGUAAGGUAACGGCUUACCAAGGCAACGAUGCAUAGCCGACCUGAGAGGGUGAUCGGCCACACUGGAACUGAGACACGGUCCAGACUCCUACGGGAGGCAGCAGUAGGGAAUCUUCCGCAAUGGGCGAAAGCCUGACGGAGCAACGCCGCGUGAGUGAUGAAGGUCUUCGGAUCGUAAAACUCUGUUAUUAGGGAAGAACAUAUGUGUAAGUAACUGUGCACAUCUUGACGGUACCUAAUCAGAAAGCCACGGCUAACUACGUG
RNAcentral lists this ribosomal RNA (497 nucleotides) under uncultured bacterium. RNAcentral's name for it is "partial 16S ribosomal RNA". It matches the Rfam family "Bacterial small subunit ribosomal RNA", at positions 28 to 507 of the family's 1533-position model. The record is from RNAcentral.